Molecule: ribosomal RNA, 492 nt
Filed under: uncultured bacterium
Lineage: Bacteria
Description: partial 16S ribosomal RNA
Rfam family: Bacterial small subunit ribosomal RNA
Source: RNAcentral
AGUGAACGCUGGCGGUAGGCCUAACACAUGCAAGUCGAACGGCAGCACAGUAAGAGCUUGCUCUUACGGGUGGCGAGUGGCGGACGGGUGAGGAAUACAUCGGAAUCUACUUUUUCGUGGGGGAUAACGUAGGGAAACUUACGCUAAUACCGCAUACGACCUACGGGUGAAAGCAGGGGAUCUCCGGACCUUGCGCGAUUGAAUGAGCCGAUGUCGGAUUAGCUAGUUGGCGGGGUAAAGGCCCACCAAGGCGACGAUCCGUAGCUGGUCUGAGAGGAUGAUCAGCCACACUGGAACUGAGACACGGUCCAGACUCCUACGGGAGGCAGCAGUGGGGAAUAUUGGACAAUGGGCGCAAGCCUGAUCCAGCCAUACCGCGUGGGUGAAGAAGGCCUUCGGGUUGUAAAGCCCUUUUGUUGGGAAAGAAAAGCAGCAGGUUAAUACCCCGCUGUUCUGACAGUACCCAAAGAAUAAGCACCGGCUAACUUCGUG